RNAcentral lists this ribosomal RNA (301 nucleotides) under uncultured bacterium. RNAcentral describes it as "partial 16S ribosomal RNA". It matches the Rfam family "Bacterial small subunit ribosomal RNA", at positions 509 to 809 of the family's 1533-position model. The record is from RNAcentral.
CAGCCGCCGCGGUAAUACAGAGGGUGCGAGCGUUAAUCGGAUUUACUGGGCGUAAAGCGUGCGUAGGCGGCUUCUUAAGUCGGAUGUGAAAUCCCUGAGCUUAACUUAGGAAUUGCAUUCGAUACUGGGAAGCUAGAGUAUGGGAGAGGAUGGUAGAAUUCCAGGUGUAGCGGUGAAAUGCGUAGAGAUCUGGAGGAAUACCGAUGGCGAAGGCAGCCAUCUGGCCUAAUACUGACGCUGAGGUACGAAAGCAUGGGGAGCAAACAGGAUUAGAUACCCCGGUAGUCCCUGUCUCUUAUAU